GGCGGAGGGGGCAUCGUCAACAACGUGCAGACACUGGUCCGACGACGCAGGAAAGCUGAUGGAUGGAGUUGAGCUGGCGAGCUUCUUCUUCGACCAAUGUGGAGCUUGUUUUUCUUGUUUGAUGUUGGCAAGUCUAGACGAUUUGUGUCUAUCAAGUGCCUUUGCCUUUGCCGUAGCGUAGUAUCGCACCUUAUUUAUAUUAAGCUGUUGCUUGCUCUCUGUGUGCCCCAACAAGUGUAGUAAUGGUAGUAGUAUUAGCACUCUCCGCAGCAAUUUUCAUCACAGUCUUUGCUUAGCUCUAGCUAUUGUUUUAUAAUUCAUGCAGUUUUGUAACUAUGUUUCAAAUGUGUGAUCAAUGAAACUCUGUAUUUGGGUUGUGCAUUUUUGUAUUGCCCAGUCGGACAAGAACGUGUAAAGCUAAAUUAAUACUUGUAUAUAUCACUUUUGACAAAACAAUUCAUCCACUUCUGAGCUUUAUCUUUAUUUUUCUGUUUA
Molecule: non-coding RNA, 495 nt
Organism: Lolium perenne
Lineage: Eukaryota; Viridiplantae; Streptophyta; Magnoliopsida; Poales; Poaceae
Source: RefSeq, a predicted model, not a curated record